AAUCUCUGAAUCAUUGAGAGGGCAUUCCAGGCGUCGCUGAGAACAAUACUGAUAUCAUUAAUCAACAAUGAGUGACCGUGACGUUCCUGCGUAUUACUAGGGCAGUGUCCGAGGAACUUGAAACCCUUGAAAACGCUGUCAGUGCUUCGGGCUUCAGGCGAAACUGCUCAAUUUCGUAUUAUUGAGCGAAAGCUUGUGGUAACCCCCCUCCCCCCGUGCGCGCUGAGCCCGUUCGGCAAGAAACUCAUGCAGCUUGCCAAGUCAUGGGGACGUAGGUUGAACGAGGCGUUCAUGGACAGCAGCUGGCGGAUCCUUUUGACGAGAACGGACGUCUCGACUUGAUUCUUGGGCAGGCCCCAGUUGUCCAACCACCCGGUGUACAUCUCCGAGUUCAUCAGGGGGCCCGCCGCCUGAUGUACGGGCCUGGGCGGAGGAUGACCAUGAAGCCGAGUCUGUGGGCGAGCCGCAGGAAGCGGGCCAGGUCCUGUUGACCCUCGAAGUCGUACUGGCCAUCCUCGGGCUCAUGGCUGCUCCACUCGACGUAGC
Molecule: non-coding RNA, 546 nt
Organism: Dermacentor albipictus
Lineage: Eukaryota; Metazoa; Arthropoda; Arachnida; Ixodida; Ixodidae
Source: RefSeq, a predicted model, not a curated record